UAAUUGAAGAGUUUGAUCAUGGCUCAGAUUGAACGCUGGCGGCAGGCCUAACACAUGCAAGUCGAACGGUAACAUGUCUAGCUUGCUAGAUGAUGACGAGUGGCGGACGGGUGAGUAAUACUUAGGGAUCUGCCCAGUGGCGGGGGAUAACAGUUGGAAACGACUGCUAAUACCGCAUAAUACCUUCGGGUCAAAGUGGGCUUCGGCUCACGCCACUGGAUGAACCUAAGCGAGAUUAGCUUGUUGGUGAGGUAAGAGCUCACCAAGGCGACGAUCUCUAGCUGGUCUGAGAGGAUGAUCAGCCACACUGGGACUGAGACACGGCCCAGACUCCUACGG
This 339-nucleotide ribosomal RNA is filed under the name Alteromonadaceae bacterium BrNp21-10. RNAcentral's name for it is "bacterial SSU rRNA". It matches the Rfam family "Bacterial small subunit ribosomal RNA", at positions 1 to 344 of the family's 1533-position model. Lineage: Bacteria; Pseudomonadati; Pseudomonadota; Gammaproteobacteria; Alteromonadales; Alteromonadaceae. The record is from RNAcentral.